GAUGAACGCUGGCGGUAUGCUUAACACAUGCAAGUCGAACGGUACUUCCGGGUAUAGUGGCGCAGGGGUGAGUAACGCGUGAGAAUCUCCCUCCCGGUCGGGGACAACAGUUAGAAAUGAAUGCUAAUACCGGAUGUGCCGAAAGGUAAAAGAUUUAUUGGCUGAAAAAGAGCUCGCGUCAGAUUAGCUAGUGGGUGGUGUAAGAGACUACCUAGGCUUCGAUCUGUAGCUGGUCUGAGAGGACGAUCAGCCACACUGGAACUGAGACACGGUCCAGACUCCUACGGGAGGCAGCAGUGGGGAAUUUUCAGCAAUGGGGGAAAGCCUGACGGAGCAAUGCCGCGUGAGUGACGAAGGCUGUUGGGUCGUAAACCUCUUUUAGCAAGGAAGAUUCUGACGGUACCAGAAGAAGAAGCACCGGCUAACUCCGUG
RNAcentral lists this ribosomal RNA (432 nucleotides) under uncultured bacterium. RNAcentral describes it as "partial 16S ribosomal RNA". It matches the Rfam family "Bacterial small subunit ribosomal RNA", at positions 28 to 507 of the family's 1533-position model. The record is from RNAcentral.